AGCUGGCUGGUACCAUGAGGUGACUUCUGCCCAGUGCUCUGAUUGUCAUGGAGAAGAGAUUCAUCCAAGCGCGGGUAAACGGCGGGAGUAACUAUGACUCUCUUAAGGUAGCCAAAUGCCUCGUCAACCAAUUAUUGACGCGCAUGAAUGGAUCAACGAGAUUCCUGCUGUCCCUAGGUGCUGUCCGGUGAACCAACAGCCAAGGGAACGGGCUUGGGCGUGUCAGCGGGGAAAGAAGACCCUGUUGAGUUUGACUCUAGUUUGAUGCUGUGCAACGACAUGUGGGGUGUAGCAUAGGUGGGAGGCCAGUGCCAUCGACACCCACCACCCAGUGUGUGGAGAGCAAAGCAGUUGUAGCGGAGCCUAUCCUGUGGUUAUGGUGCAAACCAGCAAUGAAAUACCACUACCUUCACCGUCGUUUUACUCAUCGAGUGGCUUGGGAACAGCGGCCAUUGGACAUCAGCCCUUGCAUUCCUGUGGGGGUUGCGGCCUCAUCCUGCUUCGUGUACAAAGCGUAGCCGGCUUGCCGGAUGCGUGAUCCUGUGGGGUUCCACCCCCACUCCUAUCGAUGCCUCGGGACAAUGAUCAGUUGGGGAGUUUGGCUGGGGCGGCACGCCUGUUACAGGACAACGCAGGCGUCCUGAAGCAUUGCUCAGAUGGAACAGAAAUCUUGCAUGGAGGAGCAGGCCAAAGGUGCUGCUGAUGCUGCGACUUCCAGUACAAGUCCAAAACGUGCAAGUGUGGCCUUGCGAUCCUUUGGUCAAGCAUUCGGGUUCUGGAUAUUGAAGCCAGAGGUGUCAGAAAAAUUACCACAGGGAUAACUGGCUUGUGGCUGCCAAGCGUUCAAAGCGACGUCGCUUUUUGAUCCUUCGAUGUCGGCUCUUCCUAGCUUCCCACCCGCAGCCGAGUGGAAGAGUUGGAUUGUUCACCCACCAACAGGGAACGUGAGCUGG
This 953-nucleotide ribosomal RNA is filed under the name Lepocinclis spinosa. Its description in RNAcentral is "LSU rRNA". It matches the Rfam family "Eukaryotic large subunit ribosomal RNA", at positions 2172 to 2960 of the family's 3401-position model. The record is from RNAcentral. Lineage: Eukaryota; Euglenozoa; Euglenophyceae; Euglenales; Phacaceae.